UUAAAAUAUUUUCUCCGAGUUGUUGAGUCUAAGUUCAUAAAGAAUAUGAUUCCUCAACCGAUUUGUCUGCUACUUGGUAGAUAGGGUAAGUUUGGAAAUGAACUUGUCCCGCAAUUAGCGGGAUAAACCUGCCAGCCCCAAUUUGUGUUGGGGACGCUUUGCAAAGGAGAGUCUAACUAAA
RNAcentral lists this non-coding RNA (181 nucleotides) under Ignavibacteria bacterium. RNAcentral describes it as "MoCo sequence". It matches the Rfam family "Molybdenum/Tungsten riboswitch aptamer (Moco RNA motif)". Lineage: Bacteria; Pseudomonadati; Ignavibacteriota; Ignavibacteria. The record is from RNAcentral.